This 482-nucleotide ribosomal RNA is filed under the name uncultured Thermus sp. RNAcentral describes it as "bacterial SSU rRNA". It matches the Rfam family "Bacterial small subunit ribosomal RNA", at positions 900 to 1382 of the family's 1533-position model. Lineage: Bacteria; Thermotogati; Deinococcota; Deinococci; Thermales; Thermaceae. The record is from RNAcentral.
CUUAAAGGAAUGACGGGGCCCGCACAAGCAGCGGAGCGUGUGGUUUAAUUCGAUGCUACACGAAGAACCUUACCAGGGCUUGACAUCCCUGACCGCGUAUGAAAGUACGUUUUCACCCUCGGGUGACAGGGAGACAGGUGGUGCAUGGUUGUCGUCAGCUCGUGUCGUGAGAUGUUGGGUUAAGUCCCGCAACGAGCGCAACCCCCGCCGUUAGUUGCCAGCGGUUCGGCCGGGCACUCUAACGGGACUGCCCGCGAAAAGCGGGAGGAAGGAGGGGACGACGUCUGGUCAGCAUGGCCCUUACGGCCUGGGCGACACACGUGCUACAAUGCCCACUACAAAGCGAUGCCACCCGGCAACGGGGAGCUAAUCGCAAAAAGGUGGGCCCAGUUCGGAUUGGGGUCUGCAACCCGACCCCAUGAAGCCGGAAUCGCUAGUAAUCGCGGAUCAGCCAUGCCGCGGUGAAUACGUUCCCGGGCCUU